Molecule: non-coding RNA, 1408 nt
Organism: Agelaius phoeniceus (red-winged blackbird)
Lineage: Eukaryota; Metazoa; Chordata; Aves; Passeriformes; Icteridae
Source: RefSeq, a predicted model, not a curated record
GGCUUGCUGAGCCUCUCGAGCAUCCUCUUAACUGCUUUGGCACUAACUUCUUUUAACGAGUUACAUUUCAUCAUCACGUGCUAUCGUCAUAGGGCUUCCUCUCCUUUGGCAUCAUCAGCCUCUGGCACAUCUUGCGCUAGGCAUCUCGGGUGCCUAAGGGGACAGUGCCAGGCAGUUGCCACUUGUCUCUGUGUUAUGUCACCUGUGUCUGUGUGUUGUCCGUGUCUGUGUGUUGUCCGUGUCUGUGUCCGUUGUCUUCCACGUCAUAGGCCUUUGUUACGUCUCAAUGCUUUAUUGGCACUAUUCUGUGCCGUAUAGGCUGUAUUCUACUCACGUUCCUUUCUGGAUAUCCCUUAUUCUGGCAUCUUUACAUUUUUACUCUUUGAGACAGGAAUGUCUCAAACGGACAAGAUGUUCUCAUCCAUCUUCCUUCUCACUACCAGCUUUGGUAGUGCCUUUUUUUCCAUGCCAUUUUCUUGGACUGCUAGAGGGAGUGUCUUGCACCCUCCUCAUGUGACUGCAGUACUUCUAUAGGUUCCAUCUUCUGAAGGGUAUAGGACUCAAGAAUUCAUCUUCCAGCGAGUUAUCUCAAGUCCUGGCUUAUAUUGUGUGUACCUGUGCUGGCUUAUACUGUAUGUACCUACCCUCUAUGUACACUUGCACUGUAUGCAUCGACUUACAUUGUUGUGUGUACUUAUAUUGUACCACUUAUGGUUGGAGCUGCCCUGCCCGGGCACGUAGUCACAGUCAGGUAGAAGAGUUAUAAAAACUUUACUGUUCAUCUGUCUUUUAUGGGAUUUUGGGUAGAAAACUUAUUGGUUCAGAGUGGAGACAAGUCCUAGCUGUCAGAUAGCCACUCGUUGACCGCUUCCUGUCAUCUCACAGGUCCCCGAGGCUACCGAUUUCCCCAGAACCUACCAACUGACGUCAAGGAGCGCAGCCAGAAGAUGUGUCGCAGCACGUUCUUCAGCGUCUCGAGGUGAGCACAGGGUGAACUCUCUCCUCCUUGCUGUGACACCUGGGCUGGCAGGGAUGACACAGUGACCUCGGCCAGCCGAUGCUGCCUGUGCCAUCACCUGGCACUGACGUGUUUGAUGAAAAUCCUUUUGCUGGGAUUUUUCUCCUGAGAAGCCUCAGAACAGAAAUGGAACCAAUAACGAUCUGCUGGCUGUGGAGUGUGGGCUGGAGUUGGUUUAGCAACAGGGGCAUCUUGGAUUAGACUCCUGUGCAGUGUCUACUUGAUGACCAAUCAUGGUCCAGCUGCGUCGGGGCUGUGAGCAGUCCCAGGUUUUUAUUAUUCAUUCCUUUCUAGCUUUCUGAUGUCUCCUUGCUCUUUUAGUAUAGUUCUACUAUCUCAUUUUCUUUUAAUAUAAUAGAGAUCAUAAAAUAAUAGUUCAGCCUUCUGAAA